AGAGUUUGAUCCUGGCUCAGGACGAACGCUGGCGGUGCGCUUCAUGCAUGCAAGUCGAACGAGAGACUCCCGGCUUGCCGGGACUAUCUAGUGGCGAACGGCUGAGUAACACGUGAGAAACUUGCCCUUCGGCGGGGGACAACCACGGGAAACUGUGGCUAAUACCGCAUAAUAUCUUUUCGUGAUGGCGAAAAGACCAAAGGCUUCGGUCACCGAAGGAGAGUCUCGCGGCCUAUCAGCUUGUUGGCGGGGUAAUGGCCCACCAAGGCUAUGACGGGUAGCUGAUCUGAGAGGAUGAUCAGCCAGAGGGGGACUGAGACACGGCCCCCACUCCUACGGGAGGCAGCAGCAGGGAAUCUUGCGCAAUGGGCGAAAGCCUGACGCAGCGACACCGCGUGGGGGAUGAAGGCUCUUGGGUUGUAAACCCCUUUUGCUGGGGAAGAAGAUCUGACGGUACCCAGCGAAUAAGGCCCGGCCAACUACGUGCCAGCAGCCGCGGUAAUACGUAGGGGCCAAGCGUUGUCCGGAUUUAUUGGGCGUAAAGGGUGCGUAGGCGGUUCGGUAAGUCUCCUGUGAAAGCUCCCGGCCCAACCGGGAGAGGUCAGGGGAUACUGCCAGACUUGAGGACGGCAGAGGAAGGUGGAAUUCC
RNAcentral lists this ribosomal RNA (649 nucleotides) under uncultured bacterium. RNAcentral's name for it is "bacterial SSU rRNA". It matches the Rfam family "Bacterial small subunit ribosomal RNA", at positions 8 to 670 of the family's 1533-position model. The record is from RNAcentral.